UCUAGAGUUCAAUCGGUUGUCUUACGAUUUUUCACUUCAAUGGCAGGGCUUUCAAAACCCUAAAUUCGCAGAAAAUCUCAAAUCAAUAAACCCUAAAUUCAAAGGUGACAAAGUUGUGAUGAAAGUAGCAGCCCUUUUUGACGAAUGAGAAUGCUAUUUAUUCAAUCGUUGAAAAUUACAGUUUUUUUACACUUUUGAGCUGGUGGAUCAAUCUGGUGAUGAAAUUUCACAUUUAGCUAUCGAUAUUGGAGCAGCACCAUCAACUCUUUUGUUAAGGAAAAGAAGGUGGUCCAGAUGUCACUGAUUGAGCAGUAUAUGCAAACAUCAACCUACAAGACAAGGCGACCUAAUAACAAAUAGAAUUGAGUAUUAGUAUGUGUAUGUGCGACAUGUACGGGUGAUGUAUUCUACUACAAGAAGCAAAGGAAAAACAAGAAAGUGCAAGCUAAAGGAAAUGGGGAUGGAGGAGAAAACACGAAGAAGAAGUUAUUUUAGAUGGAUGUGUAAUGCUUCAUUAGUUCUUUUCGAUUUCUCAUUGUAUCUUGCUCUUAGCGUAAUAUAGAUGCUUAUGAGGUCUCGGGUUCAAUUUCCAGCAGAGAUAAAAACAUUAGGUAAUUUCUUCCCAUCUGUUCUAGCCUUAGGACAAAGUUACCAGGUACUUGAUGGUGGUAGGAGGUAGCAGGUAUCCCGUGGAAUUAGUUGAGGGCGUGCUUUACUAUCUACAUAAGAUGUUUCAGCCUUCAGGUGGUCUUCAUAAAAAAUGUGAAUUUCCAUGGGUAAAGCAAGAAUUUUCAAUCGAUGGCUAAUUGCCAAACAUGUUAUGAAGCUACAUAUGGAAAAUUCGGGUGAUUUCUUAUUAUAUUGAAACAAAAGAGAACACAUUGAUUUGGCUUCAUUAGAUGAUAGCUUGGUUUUGUUUCUAGCCAAGCAAAGGAGAUGUUGGACCAACUUUGAAGAGUGCUGGAAACAUAAUCUGUUACAUUGAGAGCGGACAAUUUAUUGCAGAAGUUAAAAGCUAAGAUAUGUCAUAUAAUGAUUCUGGCAUUUUCACCAAUUUUCGUUAAUGUGGCUUAGUGUACUCCAUCCAUUGUCUGCUAAAACUAAUAAUUCGCUCCCCCUUCUUUCUUCAUUCCCUUUGUUGAAGGGGAGAGAUCAUAAGUUUUAUUCAAGAGUUUAGAAGUUUGGGUUCUUAAAUUUGAAACAAGGGUAUGUAAAGUUUUUCUGAAAAUGAUAUAAUAGCUUCUCAUAUAAUAACUGCUCUUCGAAAGGUCGGUCAAAGGUAAGCUCUUAAAGCUCAUUAUUUGAAUGGGCUGUUCACCUUGAAAACCAUGCUCUGCUACACAGUCUAAAGUUCGCUUUUAACUACAACCUGUCCUCUCGAAAGACUCCUGUACUAUUGAAAUACAUGUGUACUGUAUUUACCAUCUAAACUAUUGAAACCUGGAUCUAUUACUCUUUCAUAGUUUUCUCAUAAUUAAAUGAGAGUUGGGAUUAUGGCUCAAAAGAUUUUGCUUCCUGCUAAGUCAUGCAACAAAGAUUCUUCGCAGAUACAUUGAGGGAAUUAUUUUGAAGAAGAAUGUGAAUUUCUAAUUUAUGGAUGAGUGUGUCUCUAACCCUAAUUGAAGAUACAUCUAAUUAUACCAUUCAAUUGUUCUCUCAUGGAACCUGACAGGAGAUCAAUUUUACUACUACCCUUAAGGUGAGUUCUUUGUUUUAUUUUACUUUUUAGUUGGACCUACUCUGAGUUCAAUUUUACCAACACGUUUUGUUCACCUUGAAUAGCGUAGCUCGAGUGUAUACCUUCAUCUGAGGUAAGUGAAUUUCCUUCAAAUGGAUAAUGAAUCUUCAUAUGGAAAUUUCAAGCUCAUGAAUGUUGGUUAUAUGGAAUUUGACAGUUUUCAGAGCUUUAUUCUCUGUGUAGCUUUCGACGGAUCACGCUAUGCAUGUCCAUGUGAGUAUAAUUUACCAAUGCCUACAUUAUAUUUGACUUAUUUCUUAUAUGCUGUCUCAACUCUAUUUUGGUCGAAGUGGAGAUUUUUGUGAUAACUGGUAUGUGAUUUGGUGAUAUAACAGAUAUAUAGAUGAGAGAAAUCAGACAUGGCUGACUAAUAUUAGGCGGAGACUUUAUGAAUCAAGCUAACUAAUGGAAGAAGAGAUAAAUAGGAGAUUAUAUAAGAGUGAUAGGUUUUUUCUCUCCCAUUGAUUCUUAAUUAGCCGUUCAUUUUACCAGAGUUUUUCUGUUAUUUCGUUUCAGUUGUGCACUAUAUGGGGCAUGAUGAACAAGUGAAAUUCUCAAUUAGCUGAGACUGUUGUAUCUAUUAGAUGUUCAGAACCAGUUUGGACCAAAGAAAGGAAAGGACAAGAGGUCAUGUAAAUUGAAAUGUAGGAGCUCUUCCGGCUGCGAGUAAUGUGCUUUCUGCUUCUUCCUUGCCCUCUUUUUCUUCUAUGUUUUACCGAUUCAUCAAUUUUUUUAUGUGACUUCAUUUCCUUGAUACUCCUGCUGUUGAAAGUUAUUACUAAUAUUUUUCACAUAUUCUAAUUCAUGUUUUGUGGCUUUUUCUUUUUUUAAAUUUGUAUGUGCUCCUGGUUCAGAAAUACCUUCUUGUGAUUGUGGAGCUGGUAGCAUAUUUUGUUUGUUUUAGCGUGGGUCUAAAUAUAUUCUGUAUUAUACUAAUUACUUAAGAGGCAUAUAUCUUUUUUGUAAAAAUAUUGCAUAUAUCAAAUCAUUGAAGACUUAAAGAUGUAAACUAAUUGCUCAACAUCAUCAACAUGUAUUGUUGUCUAUUUCAUGUUUGUCCCUUUUGUAUAUAGUAAUAACAAUUGUACGUGCAAUUAUCUGAUUUUUUAUUUUUUAUUUUUCCCAUCUAAAAUAUGUUUCCAUUGCAGCUCCCAAUUUUGUUCAUCUAUGAGCUUAGAUCAGACAUGUUUUAACUAAUUUAAAAAAAAAAAAAAAAAUUGUUGCAAUAGAAAAAAAAAAAAAACAUAGGGUAGUCUUUCAGUUUACUCUUUUCCCGUUGAAGUUGGUUUAUCUUGAGAAAGACCUGAAUACGUGAAGUUAUCAACUUCUCUGGAAGGUCACUUUAUGUGCGUUUGUUGCAAUCAAAUUUGUUUUUUUUUUUUUACCUUUUAGGUGAAAUUACCAACUUAAUUUUUGUGAGUACUAAUAUCUUAAUAAUAUGCAAAAAGUUGUGAUCAAGAAGAUGGAUAUGCAAGCAACAAAAAGGUUUCUUGCUGAAUUGAAGAUUUUGACGCAUGUACAUCUUGAUCUUGAUUUUGCAUUACUCAAUAUAUCAAUCCGUUCAGUGGUCUGAGCCAUUUAGCAAGCUAAUUAACGUGAUACUUUUCCUUAUGAAAGUCAAGAACGGUGAUUUAGUUUUGCUGUACUUGAGAUUUAUGGAGAAUAAGAGUUAAUAUUUCACAUGUUGAAAUAUUUUCGGUACGUUUGAUAGGAUAUUGUACUGAAGGAUCAUUGUUCUUAAUAUACGAAUAGGUUGAAAAUGUGUAAAAUUUCUAAGAUUCGUUGCUCAAUUUACUGCAUGCUCUGCACCUAAAAUGAAGAGACUUGCGAAGGCUGAUCUGGGUUGGUUGGUCCGGGAAGUCAAGGGAAAGGCAGAUCGUGUACAAUGUCAAUCCUAUAUUUGAUGUCGAUUCAUCCACACUUCUAUUCUCAGUAAAGGAAGGCUAAUUGCUUGCUGGUUGGGAGCUGUAUGAGCAGUAAUGUGCACGUAUGAUUCCGUGAGAAAGUGACAAAAAACAUGGAGAAGAAUCUCCAAGUUAAAAUCAGUUGUGAUCUUUUUUUUAGUAAUUUGGAUUCUCUACCCAGAUCUGUUGAGUUAAGCAAACACGCAGCGGUCAAGGAUGUUUCCCAUCCUUAUACAGGAUCUAAUACAAUUAGCUAUCAAUGGAUUAAAUGUAUCUAUUGUAUCUGUUUCUACAGUCA
Long non-coding RNA from Lycium ferocissimum, 3940 nucleotides. RefSeq lists it as uncharacterized. The transcript is spliced from 6 exons. The record is from RefSeq and is a predicted model, not a curated record. Lineage: Eukaryota; Viridiplantae; Streptophyta; Magnoliopsida; Solanales; Solanaceae.